CUCCGGUUGAUCCCGCCGGACCCGACUGCUAUCAGAGUGGGACUAAGCCAUGCGAGUCAACAUAGCAAUAUGUGGCAUACGGCUCAGUAACACGUAGUCAACAUGCCCAGGGGACGUGGAUAACCUCGGGAAACUGAGGAUAAACCGCGAUAGGUCAUCACUUCUGGAAUGGGUAAUGACUUAAAUCUAUAUGGCCCCUGGAUUGGACUGCGGCCGAUCAGGCUGUUGGUGAGGUAAUGGCCCACCAAACCUGUAACCGGUACGGGCUCUGAGAGGAGGAGCCCGGAGAUGGGCACUGAGACAAGGGCCCAGGCCCUAUGGGGCGCAGCAGGCGCGAAACCUCUGCAAUAGGCGAAAGCUUGACAGGGUUACUCUGAGUGAUUUCCGUUAAGGAGAUCUUUUGGCACCUCUAAAAAUGGUGCAGAAUAAGGGGUGGGCAAGUCUGGUGUCAGCCGCCGCGGUAAUACCAGCACCCCGAGUGGUCGGGACGUUUAUUGGGCCUAAAGCAUCCGUAGCCGGUUCUACAAGUCUUCCGUUAAAUCCACCUGCUUAACAGAUGGGCUGCGGAAGAUACUAUAGAGCUAGGAGGCGGGAGAGGCAAGCGGUACUCGAUGGGUAGGGGUAAAAUCCGUUGAUCCAUUGAAGACCACCAGUGGCGAAGGCGGCUUGCCAGAACGCGCUCGACGGUGAGGGAUGAAAGCUGGGGGAGCAAACCGGAUUAGAUACCCGGGUAGUCCCAGCUGUAAACGAUGCAGACUCGGUGAUGGGUUGGCCUCGCGCCUGCCCAGUGCCGCAGGGAAGCCGUUAAGUCUGCCGCCUGGGGAGUACGGUCGCAAGACUGAAACUUAAAGGAAUUGGCGGGGGAGCA
Molecule: ribosomal RNA, 868 nt
Filed under: uncultured archaeon
Lineage: Archaea
Description: bacterial SSU rRNA
Rfam family: Archaeal small subunit ribosomal RNA
Source: RNAcentral